UUUAUGGAGAGUUUGAUCCUGGCUCAGGAUGAACGCUGGCGGCGUGCCUAAUACAUGCAAGUCGAGCGAACGGACGAGAAGCUUGCUUCUCUGAUGUUAGCGGCGGACGGGUGAGUAACACGUGGAUAACCUACCUAUAAGACUGGGAUAACUUCGGGAAACCGGAGCUAAUACCGGAUAAUAUUUUGAACCGCAUGGUUCAAAAGUGAAAGACGGUCUUGCUGUCACUUAUAGAUGGAUCCGCGCUGCAUUAGCUAGUUGGUAAGGUAACGGCUUACCAAGGCAACGAUGCAUAGCCGACCUGAGAGGGUGAUCGGCCACACUGGAACUGAGACACGGUCCAGACUCCUACGGGAGGCAGCAGUAGGGAAUCUUCCGCAAUGGGCGAAAGCCUGACGGAGCAACGCCGCGUGAGUGAUGAAGGUCUUCGGAUCGUAAAACUCUGUUAUUAGGGAAGAACAUAUGUGUAAGUAACUGUGCACAUCUUGACGGUAUCUAAUCAGAAAGCCACGGCUAACUACGUGCCAGCAGCCGCGGUAAUACGUAGGUGGCAAGCGUUAUCCGGAAUUAUUGGGCGUAAAGCGCGCGUAGGCGGUUUUUUAAGUCUGAUGUGAAAGCCCACGGCUCAACCGUGGAGGGUCAUUGGAAACUGGAAAACUUGAGUGCAGAAGAGGAAAGUGGAAUUCCAUGUGUAGCGGUGAAAUGCGCAGAGAUAUGGAGGAACACCAGUGGCGAAGGCGACUUUCUGGUCUGUAACUGACGCUGAUGUGCGAAAGCGUGGGGAUCAAACAGGAUUAGAUACCCUGGUAGUCCACGCCGUAAACGAUGAGUGCUAAGUGUUAGGGGGUUUCCGCCCCUUAGUGCUGCAGCUAACGCAUUAAGCACUCCGCCUGGGGAGUACGACCGCAAGGUUGAAACUCAAAGGAAUUGACGGGGACCCGCACAAGCGGUGGAGCAUGUGGUUUAAUUCGAAGCAACGCGAAGAACCUUACCAAAUCUUGACAUCCUUUGACAACUCUAGAGAUAGAGCUUUCCCCUUCGGGGGACAAAGUGACAGGUGGUGCAUGGUUGUCGUCAGCUCGUGUCGUGAGAUGUUGGGUUAAGUCCCGCAACGAGCGCAACCCUUAAGCUUAGUUGCCAUCAUUAAGUUGGGCACUCUAAGUUGACUGCCGGUGACAAACCGGAGGAAGGUGGGGAUGACGUCAAAUCAUCAUGCCCCUUAUGAUUUGGGCUACACACGUGCUACAAUGGACAAUACAAAGGGCAGCGAAACCGCGAGGUCAAGCAAAUCCCAUAAAGUUGUUCUCAGUUCGGAUUGUAGUCUGCAACUCGACUACAUGAAGCUGGAAUCGCUAGUAAUCGUAGAUCAGCAUGCUACGGUGAAUACGUUCCCGGGUCUUGUACACACCGCCCGUCACACCACGAGAGUUUGUAACACCCGAAGCCGGUGGAGUAACCUUUUAGGAGCUAGCCGUCGAAGGUGGGACAAAUGAUUGGGGUGAAGUCGUAACAAGGUAGCCGUAUCGGAAGGUGCGGCUGGAUCACCUCCUUU
This 1552-nucleotide ribosomal RNA is filed under the name Staphylococcus aureus. Its description in RNAcentral is "16S ribosomal RNA". It matches the Rfam family "Bacterial small subunit ribosomal RNA". Lineage: Bacteria; Bacillati; Bacillota; Bacilli; Caryophanales; Staphylococcaceae. The record is from RNAcentral.